GUCGCUAUCGUCCAAUGGUCAAGACGGCACGUUGUGGCCGUGCAAAUCUGUGUUCGAUUCACAGUGGUGACA
This is a non-coding RNA of Clavulina sp. PMI_390, 72 nucleotides long. The record is from the annotation of a GenBank genome assembly. NCBI's taxonomy places the organism in Eukaryota, Fungi, Basidiomycota, Agaricomycetes, Cantharellales, Hydnaceae.